RNAcentral lists this ribosomal RNA (440 nucleotides) under uncultured bacterium. RNAcentral describes it as "bacterial SSU rRNA". It matches the Rfam family "Bacterial small subunit ribosomal RNA", at positions 954 to 1392 of the family's 1533-position model. The record is from RNAcentral.
GCAAAACGCGAAGAACCUUACCAAGGCUUGACAUCCCCUUGACCGGCACAGAGAUGUGCCCUCUCCUUCGGGAGCAAGGGUGACAGGAGGUGCAUGGUUGUCGUCAGCUCGUGUCGUGAGAUGUUGGGUUAAGUCCCGCAACGAGCGCAACCCUUAUCCUUAGUUGCCAGCAUUUAAGGUGGGCACUCUAAGGAGACUGCCGAUGAUAAAUCGGAGGAAGGUAGGGAUGACGUCAAAUCAUCAUGCCCCUUAUGUCUUGGGCUACACACGUGCUACAAUGGUCGGUACAAAGGGGAGCGAAGGAGUGAUCUGGAGCAAAUCCCAAUAAACCGAUCUCAGUUCGGAUUGUAGGCUGCAACUCGCCUACAUGAAGUCGGAGUUGCUAGUAAUCGCGAAUCAGAACGUCGCGGUGAAUGCGUUCCCGGGUCUUGUACACACCG